Molecule: ribosomal RNA, 1718 nt
Filed under: human gut metagenome
Description: bacterial LSU rRNA
Rfam family: Bacterial large subunit ribosomal RNA
Source: RNAcentral
UCCAAUCGAACCCGGAGAUAGCUGGUUCUCCCCGAAAUAGCUUUAGGGCUAGCGUUAUUUUAGAUUACCGGAGGUAAAGCACUGAAUGGUCUAGGGGCCGCGAGGUUACCAAAGCCUAUCAAACUCUGAAUGCCGGAUAAUUGAUGAAUAGCAGUCAGACUGUGUGAGAUAAGUCUCAUAGUCAAAAGGGAAACAGCCCAGAUCUACAGCUAAGGUCCCAAAUGAACACUAAGUGGAAAAUGAUGUGAAACUGCGAAGACAACCAGGAUGUUGGCUUAGAAGCAGCCACUCAUUCAAAGAGUGCGUAAUAGCUCACUGGUCGAGUGGUUUUGCGCAGAAAAUGUAACGGGGCUAAGUGUUCAACCGAAGCUUAGGCAUUGCAGUAAUGCAUUGGGUAGGGGAGCGUCGUAUGCGGGGCGAAGUCAGAGCGGAAGCACUGGUGGACUGCAUACGAGUGAGAAUGCCGGAAUAAGUAGCGAGAAUUAUGUGAGAAUCAUAAUGGCCGAAAAUCUAAGGUUUCUUGGGGAAGGUUCGUCCGCCCAAGGUUAGUCGGGAGCUAAGCUCAGGCCGAAAGGCGUAGGCGAUGCACAUACGGUAGAAAUUCCGUAACCACCGAACAUUUAAGCUAGAGGGACGCUUUCAUUAAGUCUAUCCCGGGCGAUGGUUGCCCCGGGCGUAAGGGACCGAAAUUUAGUAGGGAAGUAGACGGCGUGAGAGACGAGAAAAGCUCUAGUGUAUACUAAGGUGCCCGUACCGCAAACCGACACAGGUAGAUGGGAUGAGUAUUCUAAGGCCAACGGGAGAAGGGUUGUUAAGGAACUCGGCAAAUUGGCCCCGUAACUUCGGGAUAAGGGGCGCCUGCGAGAGCAGGCCGCAGUGAAAAGGCCCAAGCGACUGUUUAGCAAAAACACAGCUCUCUGCUAAAUCGAAAGAUGACGUAUAGGGGGUGACGCCUGCCCGGUGCUGGAAGGUUAAGGGGAGUGCUUAGCAGCAAUGCGAAGGUGCGAACUUAAGCCCCAGUAAACGGCGGCCGUAACUAUAACGGUCCUAAGGUAGCGAAAUUCCUUGUCAGGUAAGUUCUGACCCGCACGAAUGGCGUAACGAUUUGGGCACUGUCUCAACAGCCCGCCCGGCGAAAUUGUAGUACCGGUGAAGAUGCCGGUUUCCCGCAACUAGACGGAAAGACCCCAUGGAGCUUCACUGUAGCUUGAUAUUGGAUCUCGGUAUUCCAUGUACAGGAUAGGUGGGAGACUUGGAAGUAAGCGCGCCAGCGUUUAUGGAGUCAACCUUGGGAUACCACUCUUGGGAUAUUGGGAUUCUAACCUGCGACCAUGAAUCUGGUCGGGGGACACUGUCAGGUGGGCAGUUUGACUGGGGCGGUCGCCUCCAAAAGAGUAACGGAGGCGCUCAAAGGUUCGUUCAGCACGGAUGGAAAUCGUGCACUGAGUGUAAACGCAUAAACGAGCCUAACUGCGAGAAUGACGGUUCGAGCAGUAACGAAAGUUGGAGUUAGUGAUCCGGCGGUAUGUGAAUGGAAAUGCCGUCGCUCAACGGAUAAAAGCUACCCUGGGGAUAACAGGCUGAUCUCCCCCAAGAGUCCACAUCGACGGGGAGGUUUGGCACCUCGAUGUCGGCUCAUCGCAUCCUGGGGCUGUAGUCGGUCCCAAGGGUUGGGCUGUUCGCCCAUUAAAGCGGUACGCGAGCUGGGUUCAGAACGU